Molecule: ribosomal RNA, 117 nt
Filed under: Sinocyclocheilus grahami
Lineage: Eukaryota; Metazoa; Chordata; Actinopteri; Cypriniformes; Cyprinidae
Source: RNAcentral
AGCAACAGCCAUAUCACCCUGCAGCCCAAGACUGGGCGCCCACUGAAGCUAAGCAGGGUUGAACCUGGUCAGUACCUGGAUGGGAGUAAUCCUGGGAAAACUAGGUUGCUGCUGGAA